CCUACGUGAGGCAGCAGUGAGGAAUAUUGGUCAAUGGGCGCGAGCCUGAACCAGCCAAGUAGCGUGAAGGAUGACUGCCCUACGGGUUGUAAACUUCUUUUAUAAAGGAAUAAAGUGAGGCACGUGUGCCUUUUUGUAUGUACUUUAUGAAUAAGGAUCGGCUAACUCCGUGCCAGCAGCCGCGGUAAUACGGAGGAUCCGAGCUUUAUCCGGAUUUAUUGGGUUUAAAGGGAGCGUAGAUGGGUUGUUAAGUCAGUGGUGAAAGUUUGCGGCUCAACCGUAAAAUUGCAAUUGAUACUGGCAGUCUUGAGUACAGUUGAGGUAGGCGGAAUUCGUGGUGUAGCGGUGAAAUGCUUAGAUAUCACGAAGAACUCCGAUUGCGAAGGCAGCUUACUAAACUGCCACUGACAUUGAUGCUCGAAAGUGUGGGUAUCAAACAGGAUUAGAUACCCUUGUAGUC
Molecule: ribosomal RNA, 460 nt
Filed under: uncultured bacterium
Lineage: Bacteria
Description: partial 16S ribosomal RNA
Rfam family: Bacterial small subunit ribosomal RNA
Source: RNAcentral